RNAcentral lists this transfer RNA (73 nucleotides) under Phytophthora infestans (potato late blight agent). RNAcentral's name for it is "tRNA-Asn". It matches the Rfam family "tRNA". Rfam says of the family: Transfer RNA (tRNA) molecules are approximately 80 nucleotides in length. Their secondary structure includes four short double-helical elements and three loops (D, anti-codon, and T loops). The record is from RNAcentral. RNAcentral also lists the same sequence under 1 other name. Lineage: Eukaryota; Oomycota; Peronosporomycetes; Peronosporales; Peronosporaceae.
UCUCCUAUAGCUCAGUUGGUAGAGCGUGCGGCUGUUAACCUCAAAGUCGCUGGUUCAAACCCAGCUGGGAAAG